Molecule: transfer RNA, 73 nt
Filed under: Cimex lectularius (bed bug)
Lineage: Eukaryota; Metazoa; Arthropoda; Insecta; Hemiptera; Cimicidae
Description: tRNA-Asp
Rfam family: tRNA
About the family: Transfer RNA (tRNA) molecules are approximately 80 nucleotides in length. Their secondary structure includes four short double-helical elements and three loops (D, anti-codon, and T loops).
Source: Rfam by way of RNAcentral
GUCACGAUAGCUCAAGUGGUAGAACAGCGGCGUGUCAAGCCGAAGAUCGUGGGUUCGAAUCCCGCUCGUGCCA